RNAcentral lists this long non-coding RNA (825 nucleotides) under Sorghum bicolor (sorghum). RNAcentral describes it as "long non-coding RNA (SBIC_LNC014204)". Lineage: Eukaryota; Viridiplantae; Streptophyta; Magnoliopsida; Poales; Poaceae. The record is from RNAcentral.
ACACUCCUUACUUUGACUUUGUACCAAUGUCUAGCUUUUCCUGUUAAAGAGAACGGAAAGAGCUUCCAUUUAAGGGUCUCAUCGGACAUGCCUUCUAUGCGAAGGAGGUCACAGACUCGAUAAAACUCUCUUAGGUGUGUGUAUGGGUUUUCUUCACCUUCUCCUGAGAAAGGUUGUUUUUGAACAAAUUCUAUGUAUUCGGGGUCUAUCUCAAAACUAGAUGCUAUAAUAGGCUGUAGUGGUUCGAGAUGUGUGCCCGUAGGUCUAUGAAAUUCAUAGAUAGACAUGUUUGAAUUCAUGAUAGACCAGAGAUUAAGGAUUAGAUAAGAAGAAAGAAUAGUAGAGAUGAGGCAAAGGAUAAAAGGAAAAGAAUAUAUAUUUUUUUUAUUUUUUUAGAAAAUGAUUAAGCUAGUUGGUAGUCAACUCAGCAACCAUUUCCCCGGCAACGGUGCCAAAAAUGCUUGUUGACACUUGCUAACACCACUUGAAUACUAGGUUGUCAUCCCCAGCGUGGCACUAGAGUGUACUAUGGUAUUUCUACGCACACAGAUAAUCCGCAAGCGCACGGAUACCGUUAUAGCUUUUACUCGGUUAAAGGUUUUAUCGUAUCCAUAGGGAAACGGGAGAACUGAUCUACGCUCUAACUUAACCAAGAUAGAUAGAUAAGUGUAAAUAGGAAAGAUGGUAGAAUCGAAUAAGAACAAUAUUAAAGGUAAGAUAACAGUGGGUGAUAAUAUGGGAACAGAGAAUAGAGCAACCUAGUAUAUGGGCAAUGGUAGCAGAAUAGAGAGGAUAACUAUGGUUUCUCUACUUCAAAGGGGUAUG